Long non-coding RNA from Chinchilla lanigera (long-tailed chinchilla), 287 nucleotides. RefSeq lists it as uncharacterized. The transcript is spliced from 3 exons. The record is from RefSeq and is a predicted model, not a curated record. Lineage: Eukaryota; Metazoa; Chordata; Mammalia; Rodentia; Chinchillidae.
CUGAUUCUUUGAUGCUUUGGUCUCUAGGCCAAAAAACUACUUCACAGAAUCAUCAGAGGCCAGUGUUUUUGCAAAGUUCACUGCAAGAUGUUUUUUACCAGUGUUGAACCCAGUGGGCUCUGUCAGUCACAAGGGGAGAUGAAGUCAUGUGGGCUACUCACAACAAACAAUGCACACAUCUUUACACUGGAAGAUUUGGCUUCUCCCUUUUCUCCAUUAUUAGUUCAGGCCAACGCAAGAGUUUCCUGCCUUGGCCCUUCUUGGGUGAAGUCACUGUCCUGGAACUG